This 100-nucleotide non-coding RNA is filed under the name unclassified sequences. Its description in RNAcentral is "GP20-a RNA". It matches the Rfam family "GP20-a RNA". From Rfam's summary of the family: gut metagenomes. Environment (Cow rumen (57)) The record is from RNAcentral.
ACGGGUCUUGCCGAAGACCUUUAAAGACGGCACAAUCAGGCGGAAACUGUAAUCCGCAAUUACAAAUAACAGAUAUAAAUGAUUGUCAAAAGGAGAACAA